Molecule: ribosomal RNA, 301 nt
Filed under: uncultured bacterium
Lineage: Bacteria
Description: partial 16S ribosomal RNA
Rfam family: Bacterial small subunit ribosomal RNA
Source: RNAcentral
CAGUCGCCGCGGUAAUACGUAGGUGGCAAGCGUUGUCCGGAAUUAUUGGGCGUAAAGCGCGCGCAGGCGGAUCAGUCAGUCUGUCUUAAAAGUUCGGGGCUUAACCCCGUGAUGGGAUGGAAACUGCUGAUCUAGAGUAUCGGAGAGGAAAGUGGAACUCCUAGUGUAGCGGUGAAAUGCGUAGAUAUUAGGAAGAACACCUGUGGCGAAGGCGACUUUCUGGACGAAAACUGACGCUGAGGCGCGAAAGCCAGGGGAGCGAACGGGAUUAGAUACCCCAGUAGUCCCUGUCUCUUAUACA